GUUUUCACCUAAAAACUGAAUGUUCCAGGCUGUCUGCAUAGAAAUACUUCAUCUUGGUUGUUAAUUCCCUUUGGCCAAUAAGCCAGCCAAGAGCCUAGAAUAGAAGUCAAGGGAAACCGUCGCUGGCUACACCACACGACCGGCCAGACCCCUGGUGACUCACAAAGGUGAGCGAGCCUCGGUCUGGGCCAGUCUGCUGCGGGAGCCAGACAACCGGCAGCGGCAGACCAGAAGCCCCCAGCAAGGAGCCAGGGCCUACAAAGGCUCAAGAGGUCAUCCUAAGUGCCCGCUUCAGAGCAGGAAGCUGGGUCCUGGCCCUGGGGACAUGCCCGAGGUCACAUGGUGACUGGCAGAGGCACCCAUCGUCUGUGGGCCUACCCCAACCAGUGCAAACCAGUUGCUGUGCUGGGAAGGCCAACUCCAAACAGACAUGGAAAGAAAAGAAGUCCUGACGUGCACCUUUCACAUCUCUGGGGAUAUAAAUACUCCCACCUCGGAUUGAUCACAGGCUCCUGGACCCAUGUUGGGUCACCGAAUGUGGGCUUGGGGAGAGCUGCCCGCUCCAGCCCACCGUGGACCCAAACCCAGCUCUGCCUGGUUCUGAGACCGCGCCUCUCCCCACAGUGUGCCAAACCAAACACCUCACCAUGAGCCCAAUUCUUUGUAUUUUUAUGCCCUGCCCUUCAUCCCGAACUCUCCCAGGUUUAGAGCGGGGCAUCCGCUGGGUUAUAAGGAACAGUGUGGUGGCAUCACUGUCCCACAUCUGUCCCCACCACCAGCUGCGAAUCUAGCUCCCGCAGAGAGACAUUUUGCUGAGCGAGUCCAGGGUAUAGUGCAGGGCACCCCUCGAAUCUGGUUCCCGUGUUGCCUGAGGAGCCCUGCUCGGGGCACCCCUAUCUACAUUGACAGGACGGAGGGGCAGCUCGCCAUUCGGAAUGCUACCACGGUGACCUCUCGUCCCCAGCAGGAACAGCGUUGCUAAUGUCCCAGGUCACACGUGGGUUUGGUUUGCACAGCGCCUGUCCCCAAAGCUGGCAACUAUGUAUCCUUUCCGACAAGUGAUUCUAAGACAGCCUGUGGCCUCGGAGCGCCAAGCCUGUGAACAUCGCCACAUCUCAGCUAGCUGCUGUGUGGACCCAUAUGUGGACGCUUUGGACCCCAAGCACAUUUUGUACUGUUUGGGAUCGAGAUUGGGAUCACAAAAGACAGGAUGGUGGACGUGGACCACUCCUAC
This is a long non-coding RNA of Lutra lutra (Eurasian river otter), 1234 nucleotides long. RefSeq lists it as uncharacterized. The transcript has 3 exons. NCBI's taxonomy places the organism in Eukaryota, Metazoa, Chordata, Mammalia, Carnivora, Mustelidae. The record is from RefSeq and is a predicted model, not a curated record.